CUGAAAAUGUAGCUCAGUGGUAGAGUGUUUGCCUAACAUGUGCAAGACCCUGGGUUUGAUCCUCAGUUCUUGGA
RNAcentral lists this transfer RNA (74 nucleotides) under Marmota monax (woodchuck). RNAcentral's name for it is "tRNA.Val". The record is from RNAcentral. Lineage: Eukaryota; Metazoa; Chordata; Mammalia; Rodentia; Sciuridae.